Molecule: ribosomal RNA, 384 nt
Filed under: Pantomorus viridicans
Lineage: Eukaryota; Metazoa; Arthropoda; Insecta; Coleoptera; Curculionidae
Description: partial 12S ribosomal RNA
Source: RNAcentral
UUAGAUACCCUAUUAUUUUGAAUGAAAUAAAGUUGCCUGGUUAGUAGUAGUUAUGUUCUUGAAAAUUAAAGAAGAUGGCGGUAUUUUAGUCUAUUCAGAGGAACCUGUCCUAUAAUUGAUGAUCCACGAUUUAUUUUACUUAUUUUUUUUUAGUUUGCAUAUCGCCGUAGCUUGAAUAUUUUUAAAGGAGUAAAACGUUCAAAAGGUUUUUUAAAAAAAUAAAUCAGGUCAAGAUGUAGCUUAUAAAUAAGAAGAGAUGGGUUACAAUAAAUAUAUUUAUUAUGAAUUAGUAAUUGAAAAUUAUUAUGAAGGUGGAUUUGAUAGUAAUAUUAUUUAAAUUUAUAAUAUGAUUUUAGCUCUAAAGUAUGUACACAUCGCCCGUCC